GCCCGGGUGGCGAAAUUGGUAGACGCACCAGAUUUAGGUUCUGGCGCCGCAAGGUGUGGAGGUUCGAGUCCUCUCCCGGGCACCA
Molecule: transfer RNA, 85 nt
Filed under: Rhodocyclaceae bacterium
Lineage: Bacteria; Pseudomonadati; Pseudomonadota; Betaproteobacteria; Rhodocyclales; Rhodocyclaceae
Also listed under: 1 other name
Description: tRNA-Leu
Rfam family: tRNA
About the family: Transfer RNA (tRNA) molecules are approximately 80 nucleotides in length. Their secondary structure includes four short double-helical elements and three loops (D, anti-codon, and T loops).
Source: RNAcentral